RNAcentral lists this ribosomal RNA (253 nucleotides) under uncultured bacterium. RNAcentral's name for it is "partial 16S ribosomal RNA". It matches the Rfam family "Bacterial small subunit ribosomal RNA", at positions 524 to 776 of the family's 1533-position model. The record is from RNAcentral.
UACAGAGGAUGCAAGCGUUGUCCGGAAUCAUUGGGCGUAAAGCGCGCGUAGGUGGCUUCGUAAGUCCGUUGUGAAAGUCAAAGGCUCAACCUUUGAAAGCCGAUGGAUACUGUGAAGCUAGAGUACGGAAGAGGCGAGUGGAAUUCCUGGUGUAGCGGUGGAAUGCGCAGAUAUCAGGAGGAACACCAAUAGCGAAGGCAGCUCGCUGGGACGUUACUGACACUGAGGCGCGAAAGCGUGGGGAGCGAACAGG